This 374-nucleotide unclassified non-coding RNA is filed under the name soil metagenome. Its description in RNAcentral is "partial contains internal transcribed spacer 2 and large subunit ribosomal RNA". The stretch from base 1 to 120 matches the Rfam family "5.8S ribosomal RNA", at positions 35 to 154 of the family's 154-position model. The record is from RNAcentral.
GAUGAAGAACGCAGCGAAAUUCGAUAAUUAAUGUGAAUUGCAGAAUUCCGUGAAUCAUCGAGUCUUUGAACGCACAUUGCGCCUCAUGGCAUUCCGUGAGGCAUGCCCAUCUCAGCGUUAGAAAAUAUUCUCAAAUUUUAGUUUUGUGCUAAAAUUUGGAUCAUGUCAAGGAAGCUAUUACUAUUAUUGUGAUCGCUCUUUGGAAAUUGAUAGGUCUUUGAGUUGCUACUCAUAGAACGUGAUGAAUCUUUCUUCGUUCUAUUGUAAUUCACUCUGGUAGUCCUAAAACUUGUAUGCCUGUGGCAUAUCUUGUAAUUUGACCUGAGAUUGGGUAGGGAUACCCGCUGAACUUAAGCAUAUCAAUAAGCGGAGGA